GAUGAACGCUGGCGGCGUGCUUAACACAUGCAAGUCGAACGGGAAUUAUUUUAUUGAAACUUCGGUCGGUUUCAUUUACUUCUAGUGGCGGCCGGGGGAGUAACGCGUGGGUAACCUGCCUUAUACAGGGGGAUAACAGUCAGAAAUGGCUGCUAAUACCGCAUAAGCGCACAGAGCUGCAUGGCUCAGUGGGUAAAAGUCGGGUGGUAUAAGAUGGACCCGCGUUGGAUUAGCUGGUUGGUGGGGUAACGGCCGACCAAGGCGACGAACCAUAGCCGGCAUGAGAGGCGGAACGGCCACAUUGGGACUGAGACACGGCCCAGACUCCUACGGAAGGCAGCAGUGGGGAAUAUUGCACAAUGGGGGAAACCCUGAUGCAGCGACGCCGCGUGAAGGAAGAAGUAUCUCGGUAUGUAAACUUCUAUCAGCAGGGAAGAUAGUGACGGUACCUGACUAAGAAGCCCCGGCUAACUACGUG
This 478-nucleotide ribosomal RNA is filed under the name uncultured bacterium. Its description in RNAcentral is "partial 16S ribosomal RNA". It matches the Rfam family "Bacterial small subunit ribosomal RNA", at positions 28 to 507 of the family's 1533-position model. The record is from RNAcentral.